GACGAACGCUGGCGGCGUGCCUAAUACAUGCAAGUAGAACGCUGAAGAGAGGAGCUUGCUCUUCUUGGAUGAGUUGCGAACGGGUGAGUAACGCGUAGGUAACCUGCCUUGUAGCGGGGGAUAACUAUUGGAAACGAUAGCUAAUACCGCAUAACAAUGGAUGACACAUGUCAUUUAUUUGAAAGGGGCAAUUGCUCCACUACAAGAUGGACCUGCGUUGUAUUAGCUAGUAGGUGAGGUAACGGCUCACCUAGGCGACGAUACAUAGCCGACCUGAGAGGGUGAUCGGCCACACUGGGACUGAGACACGGCCCAGACUCCUACGGGAGGCAGCAGUAGGGAAUCUUCGGCAAUGGGGGCAACCCUGACCGAGCAACGCCGCGGGAGUGAAGAAGGUUUUCGGAUCGUAAAGCUCUGUUGUAAGUCAAGAACGAGUGUGAGAGUGGAAAGUUUACACUGUGACGGUAGCUUACCAGAAAGAGACGGCUAACUACGUG
This 497-nucleotide ribosomal RNA is filed under the name uncultured bacterium. RNAcentral describes it as "partial 16S ribosomal RNA". It matches the Rfam family "Bacterial small subunit ribosomal RNA", at positions 28 to 507 of the family's 1533-position model. The record is from RNAcentral.